AUGGAAGAAGGAGAACAACAAGUCAGACGGCAGAUCCAGACCCCGCCCACAAUGGAAAGAGAUGGAGAAGAAAUAGAAGUAGCAGCUCCGUUGGGAUCGACAAGCAGGUCCACUAAACACACAUCUAGGAUAGCUAUUCAGAAAGUAACAGAGGUCGUUGCUGCAUUAUCGGAUUACAAAAGAUUCCUUGUUGAGGAGAUUGGCUUCGAGGGUGUACUGCGUAUCCCCAUGAUUCAGAAAAUCAAUCUCAAGUUCAGCAAGUUCCUCAUGACCAAGGUGGAUGUGAAAGAGCAUUGCAUCAUCCUGAGAGACGGUGGAACGCCAAUUACUUUUUAUCCAGAGGAUUUCCACAAAGUGUUUGGCAUCCCAUGUGGUCAACGAGACAUCCAUGGGAAAGAUGCAGACAUCACAUUUGAAGCAAUCGAGUUCAUCAGGAACUCUAUAGGGUGGACAGAGAAAUCUGAUCGCAGCUUAAGUUCGCUUGAAGUGUUCAUCGGCAAGGAAAUAAACGAACUAUCCAGCCGUCUAGAAAAGGAUUCCUUCAAGAUGGCGUUUGUUGCGUUUGUGAUGGGCAGUCUGUUCGCACCGUGCACCAAACAUGAUCACUCAACCAUCGACUACUGGGGCGCCAUCAAGGAUGCGGAAAACAUCUCCCUCUUCAAUUGGUGCAAAUAUUCAUUCAAUUUUUUACUAGAAGCAGUCUGCAAACUGAAGUUGGAAACACAUGCAAACAUAACACCCAACCACCUCUCUGGGUGUCACCUUUUCUUUCAGGUGUUCGUGCUAGAUAAUGUCGAACUGGGCAUGAUGAACUUGAAGCAAACGACAAUGCCACGGAUACAAUUAUUCGACGGGGAGACCCUGAAAUGGAUGAUCCUCGUGUGCUCAGCAAGAAAGCUAGGGAGAACAAUCUUCAUAGUCCCUGAGGCAAGACACUGGAAUGCCAUGUGCUACACAUGGCACAACUGGCUGAACGAGAAACAUGGCAAGAAGAAAGCAAUGGAGCACAAGGCUGAAGGCUCAGCAAAUCAGUAUGCACUCGUCAGUCAUAACCCAGAGACCACUCGACGGGGAGAGUAUACCAAUGCGGACACAAGCAACCUUCCAUAG
RNAcentral lists this ribosomal RNA (1110 nucleotides) under Triticum aestivum (bread wheat). RNAcentral's name for it is "partial small subunit ribosomal RNA". The record is from RNAcentral. Lineage: Eukaryota; Viridiplantae; Streptophyta; Magnoliopsida; Poales; Poaceae.